Molecule: ribosomal RNA, 117 nt
Filed under: Labrus bergylta (ballan wrasse)
Lineage: Eukaryota; Metazoa; Chordata; Actinopteri; Labriformes; Labridae
Source: RNAcentral
GCUUACGGCCAUACCACCCUGAACACGCCCGAUCUCGUCCGAUCUCGGAAGCUAAGCAGGGUCGGGCCUGUUAGUACUUGGAUGGAGACCGCCUGGGAAUACCAGGUGCUGUAAGCU